UACAGAGGCCCCGAGCGUUACCCGGAAUUACUGGGCGUAAAGCGUACGUAGGUGGUUGUAUUAGUCGGUCGUUAAAUAUCCAGGGCUCAACCUUGGAAACCCGGCCGAAACGGUACGACUUGAGGGCGUGAGAGGUACAUGGAACUCUAGGUGUAGGGGUGAAAUCCGUUGAUAUCUAGGGGAACACCGAAAGCGAAGGCAAUGUACUGGCGCGUUCCUGACACUCAAGUACGAAAGCGUGGGUAGCGAACGGG
This 254-nucleotide unclassified non-coding RNA is filed under the name uncultured Parcubacteria group bacterium. RNAcentral's name for it is "contains 16S-23S intergenic spacer region". It matches the Rfam family "Bacterial small subunit ribosomal RNA", at positions 524 to 776 of the family's 1533-position model. The record is from RNAcentral.